GAUGAAGAACGUAGCGAAAUGCGAUAAGUAAUGUGAAUUGCAGAAUUCAGUGAAUCAUCGAAUCUUUGAACGCACAUUGCGCCCGCUGGUAUUCCGGGAGGUAUGCCUGUUCGAGCGUCAUUUGUACCCUCAAGCUCUGCUUGGUGUUGGGUGUUUGUUCCGCCUCUGUGUGUGAACUCGCCUCAAAACAAUUGGCAGCCGGCGUACUUGUUUCGGAGCGCAGCACAUUUUGCGAUCCAGAUCAACGUACAGCGGCAUCCAAGAAGCCUUAUUUAACGCUCUUGACCUCGGAUCAGGUAGGGAUACCCGCUGAACUUAAGCAUAUCAAUAAGCGGAGGA
RNAcentral lists this unclassified non-coding RNA (339 nucleotides) under soil metagenome. Its description in RNAcentral is "partial contains 5.8S ribosomal RNA, internal transcribed spacer 2, and large subunit ribosomal RNA". The stretch from base 1 to 120 matches the Rfam family "5.8S ribosomal RNA", at positions 35 to 154 of the family's 154-position model. The record is from RNAcentral.